UCCUACGCUUCUCAGGGCUGCACC
This 24-nucleotide microRNA is filed under the name Sarcophilus harrisii (Tasmanian devil). Its description in RNAcentral is "Sha-Mir-671_3p (mature (co-guide))". The record is from RNAcentral. Lineage: Eukaryota; Metazoa; Chordata; Mammalia; Dasyuromorphia; Dasyuridae.